AUGAGAUACCCAAGUUGGAUGUUGUGUGGGCAGAAUGUUGGACCCAAAAACUUAGAAAAACUUUGGCUUAAUGGAUGUGAUCGAUUGGGGCCUACUCCCAAUCUUUUUGGGUUUUUCAUUCAUCUUCAUGAGCUCUACAUCCAGGGUUGCAGCUGGGACACCUUGCCAAACAAUGUGAAUGACCUCGGGUCACUCAAGAUCUUAAAGUUUUGUCUUUGCUCUCGUCUCGAAUCACUGCCAAGACUACCCUGGUCUCUUAAGCUGUUUGAAGCGGUGGCUUGCGACAAAGUGUUCAUGAGCUCAUGCAAGAAAAUAGGCCAUCCAAACUGGCAAAAGCUUCAACAUGUGGAUGAUGUUCGAGUUAUUGAAGACGUUUCCCCAUUGACAAUGACAACUUUAGAGGAAUCAUAUUGUAUGGGCUGA
RNAcentral lists this ribosomal RNA (423 nucleotides) under Triticum aestivum (bread wheat). RNAcentral's name for it is "partial small subunit ribosomal RNA". The record is from RNAcentral. Lineage: Eukaryota; Viridiplantae; Streptophyta; Magnoliopsida; Poales; Poaceae.